Molecule: non-coding RNA, 25 nt
Filed under: Cricetulus griseus (Chinese hamster)
Lineage: Eukaryota; Metazoa; Chordata; Mammalia; Rodentia; Cricetidae
Source: RNAcentral
AUGCAGGAUGGUUGAAUUGUGAGCU